RNAcentral lists this ribosomal RNA (163 nucleotides) under uncultured bacterium. RNAcentral's name for it is "partial 16S ribosomal RNA". It matches the Rfam family "Bacterial small subunit ribosomal RNA", at positions 355 to 511 of the family's 1533-position model. The record is from RNAcentral.
UAGGGAAUCUUCCACAAUGGACGAAAGUCUGAUGGAGCAACGCCGCGUGAGUGAAGAAGGGUUUCGGCUCGUAAACUCUGUUGUUAAAGAAGAACACGUAUGAGAGUAACUGUUCAUACGUUGACGGUAUUUAACCAGAAAGUCACGGCUAACUACGUGCCAG